CAUUGGCAUAUUUCUAAUAAUUUAAUGUCACAAGGCACAGAGAGAGGAGUGCCUAGACUCCAAGAGCUGUGUUUAUGUUACUGAUUUUACUUUAAUAUUGCACAAUUACAAUUUGUCAAAUGCUUGGACCAAGGACACUCCAGUAAAUCAGAGAUAAUAUAAUGGGUGGUCAAUUAAAUGCAGUGAAUAACAUAAACCUGACACACCUGUUUAAAACAGACAUUUGCUUACAUAUGAUUAUCGUAGAUUCUGUGUUGAAUAGUGUAGCUUUUUUGCGCAGUAGAAAAAAAUUGAUACAUUUAUUUAAUGAGAACAUAUUUGCUCCGUAUCAAAUCAUUUCAAAUGGUCUCACAGGCUCAAGCACUCUCCUCAAUUUCCCCCCAAAUUCACCCUUAAAGCCGGGCAGUCUGUUCAUGUAUGCUUCACUGUUUGCCAGUGUUUUUACAUUGACGUUUGGUGAAAGACUGGUCCACCUCGGUGGUCCUCCUCCGUGGGUGAACAGAUCUGGGCAGCUAACGGAGGCGGCUCCCACAACCCCCCCACUGACCUGGUGUGGAAGACCCAGAACUCCUGGGGCAGCGUAGACCUGUUCCACACCACCCUCAUCAGUGCCAGCGGAGAGGAAAUGGCCACGAGGAAGAUCACAUGAACUCUAUUCCAGGAUGAGGAGGAGGAGGAGAUGGGAAUUUUUUGGAGCUGUCUUUUUAAAAAAAAAAUUAAACACCAUUUUAGAUGAAAUAUAAAUAGUUUAAUAUGAAAUCCUUUACAAUCCCUGUACAGACCAGAUCAUUUCUGGUUCAAUUAAGGGAGGCCCCCGGCCAGAGAACUGCUCCAUCAUGUAGACUCCGAGCCCCAGACCCUCAAGCCAGCCUGGGACAUCCAUCCACAGCCUUCCCCUCAUAAGGGUUAUUUUUCUAUCAUUUUUUCAUUUUUUUUUAUAUAUGUUAAGAAUCAGUCUUAUUGUGUAUGAUGUAAGCAGCAGGGUGGGGUUGUGGAUUAGAUAUAUGCGUGUGGCAAAGGGCCCAUAAAAGGACUGG
Molecule: long non-coding RNA, 1037 nt
Organism: Clupea harengus (Atlantic herring)
Lineage: Eukaryota; Metazoa; Chordata; Actinopteri; Clupeiformes; Clupeidae
Source: Ensembl